Brassica oleracea var. oleracea is the source of this 2721-nucleotide long non-coding RNA. RefSeq lists it as uncharacterized. The record is from RefSeq and is a predicted model, not a curated record. Lineage: Eukaryota; Viridiplantae; Streptophyta; Magnoliopsida; Brassicales; Brassicaceae. The transcript is spliced from 3 exons.
CUUUUUUUUUUGUCAACUGAUGUUUUAUUAACCAAACUCUAUACAUGUAAGACCAGAAAAGAAAACAAUUAAGAUAUUACAACAAGGUCCAAGAAGGGCAUGCCCAUAAUGAAAGAAGAGAUGAGCCACUCAAUCCACGCGUCAAGACUCGAACUCGCGAGGACACAUGUAGCUUUUCGGAAAGCCCACCACCAAUCUUCACCGACAAAGAGGUCUCUCGACUGAUUCUGGCAAACCACCGGAAGUCAACUAAAGUGAUGGAAGAUCCGCUCGACAUAGCAGCAAAUCCAUGAAGACCAAUCGUCAACACCACCAUCUGGAUCCUCGUCUACGACAGAAGAAUCAACCACACACAAACAAUUUCCAAGAUCCAAUUAUCCUGCAUCUAAACUAUUCAUCUUUGAUGAUAAGAAGAAGCUUGAAGAUGAACAAGCCCUAACCAGGGGAGGAUAAAGCAAUCAGAUCCAAAUUGAAAGAGGGUUGAAACUUUGAAAAGAUAAAGAGACGAAGAUCAAACAAAAAGAAAAAAAACUCUAGUGACUGGAGAGCAAGCCGGCCGACGUCACCGAAGGACUAGUCAACGUCGCCAGAGUCAAAAGCUGGACGACAACUUCCGAGGAGAUGGAGCUUCGCCGGAGUCGGAUGCCGGUCGGAUGAAACCGAAACCGGGGAACAAAAAAGCGAAGAACAAGAUCGAUUUGGGAGAGCGAUUGUCAGUCGGGUUUGAAAAGGAAAAAUGAUUAAAUCAGAUACUUUCGGUUGUUGAGAACGUCAGACGUUGGAGAUUCAAAAUCAGUCUUACGGCGGAGCUUUCAAUUUCACGGAGCAAACGAAAACGAAGCAAGAUUUGGUUUGAAGUGGGUUACCAGUGCAUCGGCGAAUACGGUAAUGUGAAACAUAAUUUUUAGUUUCAUUUUUCAGUUUGUAUUUUUCUAUUUUGCUCCUUAAACUGUGACCUCUCCAUGGAUGUCUUUGUGUAUUCUGCUUGUGUUUGCCAACCAAAGUUUCUGGGUUCAUGGGUGGGGAAGAACGUGAUGUAAGAUGUCAAUUAUAAAAGUAUACUAUAUGAGAAACGUAAAUAGUAUAGAUACACAUGUGUAGUAGACAUAGUCAAUUAUUAGGUAUAAAAUGAUCUAUGUACAUAGUCAAUAGUAUAGAUACACGUGUGUAGUAGACAUAGUCACUUUCAGUUGCAGCGAAGACAUAUGCGGUUGCAAUCUUCUCAGACAUUCAACCCCGCCCAACUCCCGUAGUGACUUGUUGGGUGGAACCCUGAUGUUGUUUUUUAUCUACUCAUAUGCUACUUAUAGUGACAUAUUGGAUGGAACCGCUAAGUUGUUCUUUCUCUACUCAUAUGCUACCUAUAGUGACCCGUUGAAUAGAACCCCCUUUGUUAUUAUGUCUACUUUUCAAAUGUUUACUCGCAUGCCGUACCUAAUUUUCAGGAAUUUUAUGUACUUUAUGCAGUACAUAUGAACGAUUGUAUUGUCAUCUAGUAGUUGUAUCAUUUCUAUACUAUUAUCUUUUAUACUAUAAAAUAACUUUCAACUAUUUGCGCAAUAAUUAGUAAAUAUAUGGGUAUGUUAUAUUAAAUUAUGCCAAUUGAAAGCCCUUAUGGUUCAAAGUAGUUUCAUGUGUUUCUUCUACCAACAGAUAACACAUUCACCGACCUUAUAUCAUCAAUUUGUGUACUAUUUCGGAAGUUUUGUAUGGUUCAGUACAAAAUGAACGUGUUUCAAACUAUACUAUAUAUGUUGUAUAGUAGAGUAUAAUACAUUUUGUCAUAAGUUUUCCAACCCUUGGUUAAAUUUAUAUAUGUAUCCUUUAGAGGAGAAUCCCAAAAUUUUGAACACUUUAAGUUCACUAGUUUUAUCAUGUUUUUUUUUUAAUUAGUGUAGAACUUAUGUCAAACUGUACGAUACUAUAUUAUAUAACAUAUAGUAUAGUUUGAAACGGCAACCAUGCUUAAUAUACAAGCUACACAAAUGCGCACAUGUGGAGUAUUGUUGUAUAGUAGAGUAUAGUACAAUUUGUCACAAGUUUUCCUACCCUUGAGUAAAUGUAUAUUUGUUUCCUGCAGAGGAGAAUCCAGAAAUUUCGAGCAUUUUAAGUUCACUAGUUGUAUCAUGUUUUUCUUUUGCAAUUAAUGUAGAAUUUGUGUCAAACUGUACGAUACUGUAUUAUACAACAUAUAGUAUAGUCUGAGACGGAAAUCAUGCUUAAUAAUCGAGAGCGGCGUACUUGGUUGGAAUUGAACCCACAAAACUCGGGUACGAAUCCUCCCCGUGACCCAUUAACUAUAUUUUAACCCUUCAAAAAAUUCUUCUUGGAUUCGCCACUAGCUACAACUUGUCUGAACGCAUGUAUUGAGGAUCUGUCUUCUUUACCUAAACUAUACCAUAUAUCGUAUAGUAUAGUUUUGUUUUGGUCACCUCUUACCUAUAUAAUUGAACCUUAUUCAACCUCACAUAAGAACGUGGAAACAAAGCGAACUUGGAGGCCAAAAUGUAGACAUACUAAAUUGAAUAUAGGAUAGUCUCGUUUCUAUUAUGCAUAAUAGAACAUGUUCGUUUAAAAGCAAUUGAGCACAUGUGUUUUUAACUUUACUCCUCUUUGCCUUCACUCACACGCGCUUACAGGGUUAUUCCUAGCAAUAUUGGAUGUAACUAGUCCCGUCAAAGACUUUUUUCUGUAGAAUAACUAUAAGCUUAAUAUUAUGGU